GCAGACGUAGUUUAAUAAAAAUAUUAAAUUGUGAUUUUAAAAAUAAAGGUUAAACUCCUUUCUUCUGCU
The sequence is a transfer RNA, 69 nucleotides long. It matches the Rfam family "tRNA". Rfam says of the family: Transfer RNA (tRNA) molecules are approximately 80 nucleotides in length.